Molecule: ribosomal RNA, 348 nt
Filed under: Mantidactylus opiparis
Lineage: Eukaryota; Metazoa; Chordata; Amphibia; Anura; Mantellidae
Description: partial 16S ribosomal RNA
Rfam family: Bacterial large subunit ribosomal RNA
Source: RNAcentral
AAAAGACCCCAUGGAGCUUCAAACCCAACUACACCCUUAACUACCACAACCGCACAACCUCUUAGGGCCCUGUAUAGUUGGUUUUAGGUUGGGGCGACCACGGAGUACAACCAAACCUCCGCAAUGGACGGGACCACUCCCUUAUCUAAGAGCCACACCUCUAAGAAUUAAAACACUAACAUAAAAUGAUCCAUGAUCUGAUCAAUGAACCAAGUUACCCUGGGGAUAACAGCGCAAUCCAUUUCAAGAGCCCUUAUCGACAAGUGGGUUUACGACCUCGAUGUUGGAUCAGGGUAUCCUAGUGGUGCAGCAGCUACUAAUGGUUCGUUUGUUCAACGAUUAAACCCU